RNAcentral lists this ribosomal RNA (365 nucleotides) under Ablepharus anatolicus. RNAcentral's name for it is "partial small subunit ribosomal RNA". It matches the Rfam family "Bacterial small subunit ribosomal RNA", at positions 864 to 1397 of the family's 1533-position model. Lineage: Eukaryota; Metazoa; Chordata; Lepidosauria; Squamata; Scincidae. The record is from RNAcentral.
AUUGUCCGCCAGAGAACUACGAGCGUAAAACUUAAAACUCCAAGGACUUGGCGGUGCCCCACACCAACCUAGAGGAGCCUGUCCUAUAAUCGAUACUCCACGUUCAACCUUACCCCCCCUAGUAAACCCAGCCUAUAUACCGCCGUCGACAGCCCACCUUAUGAAAGAAACCAAGUGAGCACAAUAAUUAACAACUAAUACGUCAGGUCAAGGUGUAGCACACGGGUGGGCAGAGAUGGGCUACAUUCCCUCUAACAGGAAACACGCACAGUGUGUUGAAACACACACUUAAAGGCGGAUUUAGCAGUAAGACAGAUAAGAAUACCUGUCUCAAACUUGCUCUGGGGCGCGCACACACCGCCCGU